CUACGGGGCGCAGCAGUGGGGAAUAUUGCACAAUGGACGAAAGUCUGAUGCAGCAACGCCGCGUGGAGGAUGACACAUUUCGGUGCGUAAACUCCUUUUAUAUAAGAAGAUAAUGACGGUAUUAUAUGAAUAAGCACCGGCUAACUCCGUGCCAGCGAGCCGCGGUAAUACGGGGGGUGCAAGCGUUACUCGGAAUCACUGGGCGUAAAGCGCAUGUAGGCGGACUUGUAAGUUGGAAGUGAAAUCCCAUGGCUCAACCAUAGAACUGCUUCCAAAACUGCUUGUCUAGAAUAUGGGAGAGGUAGAUGGAAUUUCUGGUGUAGGGGUAAGAUCCGUAGAGAUCAGAAGGAAUACCGAUUGCGAAGGCGAUCUACUGGAACAUUAUUGACGCUCAGAUGCGAAAGCGUGGGGAGCAAACAGGAUUAGAUACCCUAGUAGUC
RNAcentral lists this ribosomal RNA (440 nucleotides) under uncultured bacterium. RNAcentral's name for it is "partial 16S ribosomal RNA". It matches the Rfam family "Bacterial small subunit ribosomal RNA", at positions 339 to 795 of the family's 1533-position model. The record is from RNAcentral.